GACGAACGCUGGCGGCGUGCCUAAUACAUGCAAGUAGAACGCUGAAGCUUGGUGCUUGCACCGAGCGGAUGAGUUGCGCACGGGUGAGUAACGCGUAGGUAACCUGCCUGGUAGCGGGGGAUAACUAUUGGAAACGAUAGCUAAUACCGCAUAAGAGUAGAUGUUGCAUGACAUUUGCUUAAAAGGUGCAAUUGCAUCACUACCAGAUGGACCUGCGUUGUAUUAGCUAGUUGGUGAGGUAACGGCUCACCAAGGCAACGAUACAUAGCCGACCUGAGAGGGUGAUCGGCCACCCUGGGACUGAGACACGGCCCAGACUCCUACGGGAGGCAGCAGUAGGGAAUCUUCGGCAAUGGACGGAAGUCUGACCGAGCAACGCCGCGUGAGUGAAGAAGGUUUUCGGAUCGUAAAGCUCUGUUGUAAGAGAAGAACGAGUGUGAGAGUGGAAAGUUCACACUGUGACGGUAUCUUACCAGAAAGGGACGGCUAACUACGUG
Molecule: ribosomal RNA, 497 nt
Filed under: uncultured bacterium
Lineage: Bacteria
Description: partial 16S ribosomal RNA
Rfam family: Bacterial small subunit ribosomal RNA
Source: RNAcentral